CAAAAGAGCCCCCUUAAUUUUUUUAUAUACGUACUCCUUCGUUCUUGCUUUCUUUCUCCCUGGUUCUCCUCCGUCGGUUCUUCAUUGCCUCCUUAUAAAGCCUCAGCAAUAAGAUCAUCCUUUGGUCAUUUAAGAGUUUAAUCGUCUUUGCGAUGAUCACAAGCAAGUUUCAGAAGUUAGAAAAUUUUUGAAGGUCUGACUCAAUAAGUGGUAAGAGCCCAACAAAUAAUAAAA
Long non-coding RNA from Asparagus officinalis (garden asparagus), 234 nucleotides. RefSeq lists it as uncharacterized. The transcript is spliced from 3 exons. The record is from RefSeq and is a predicted model, not a curated record. NCBI's taxonomy places the organism in Eukaryota, Viridiplantae, Streptophyta, Magnoliopsida, Asparagales, Asparagaceae.